UUAAAUUAGAAAAAUCCUUUUUUGGAUUUAAAAGUGACCUAUUUAUUUGUGUACUGUACAACCCCCCUGUUACGUCUAAAUAUACCCAAGAACUCUCUUCUGAUGUUUUUGAAUGCAUAGAAAAAGAUAUCUUUCAGUAUAAAAAAAUGGGUGAAAUUUUGUUAUGUGGAGAUUUUAAUGCCAGAAUAGGCUCUGAAAAUGACUUUAUAGUAAACGAUGAUUCAAAAUUUACUCCAAUUUUUGAUACAUACCCUACUGACAAAAACAUUAUGACAAGAAAAAGUCGAGACCAAAAAAUUGAUCAAAGAGGCAAAGAAGUUUUGGAUUUUUGCAUUAGUAAACAAAUAAGAAUUUUAAAUGGCAGAGUUCUUGGUGAUACAUUUGGUAAUUUUACUUGCUAUACCCCCAAUGGUGCAAGUGUGGUUGAUUAUGUUGCUGUGUCGGAAGAAAUUCUUGAAAAUGUACUGUAUUUUAAAGUAUCCAGAUUUAUUCCCACAUUAUCUGAUUGUCAUUGUAAACUUGAGUGGGAAUUAUCUGCAAAAUAUUGUGUUCCUGGAGAAAAUGAUAUUCCAAUCCAGUUGAAAAAUAUGACACCUAAUUAUAUCUGGACUGACUGUUCAGCAAUAAAAUUUCAAGAAACACUUUCUUCAGAUACACUACAAAACUACAUACUAGAAUUCAACAACAGCACAAUUCAAUUUACUCAGACAUCAGUAGAUGAAGCAUCAUCAAAACUUUCAAACAUCUUUUUAUCAGCAGCAAAUCUAUCACUUAAACGACCUUUAAAAAAACACACAAACAAACAAAAAAACAAAAAGUGGUUUGACGCAAGUUUACAACAAGCUCGAACUAACUUGCUUAAUUAUGGAAAAAUUUAUUCAAGAUUUCCAUAUGAUCCAAUUAUCAAAAAUCACUUUUAUAAACUGAAUCGUGAAUACUCCAAACUAAGGAAAUAUAAAUACAAACAAUACAAACAAUCAUUGAUUAGUCAGCUGGACUCCUUGCACGAAGAGAAUCCAAAACUGUAUUGGAACUUAAUUAAUGAACUACAGG
This 1053-nucleotide long non-coding RNA is filed under the name Mytilus galloprovincialis (Mediterranean mussel). Lineage: Eukaryota; Metazoa; Mollusca; Bivalvia; Mytilida; Mytilidae. The record is from RNAcentral.